AAUGAACGCUGGCGGCGCGCCUAAUACAUGCAAGUCGAACGGGGGAUCACAGGGUUAGCAAUAGCUCCGUGGUUCUAGUGGCGCACGGGUGAGUAACACGUGGGUAACCUGCCCUUGAGACUGGGAUACCCCCUCGAAAGGGGGGCGUAAUACCGGAUACGUUCCUCGGAUCGAAAGGUCUGAGGAGGAAAGGUGGCGAAAGCUGCCGCUCUUGGAGGGGCUCGCGGCCUAUCAGCUAGUUGGCGGGGUAACGGCCCACCAAGGCUGCGAUCGGUAGCUGGUCUGAGAGGAUGAUCAGCCACACUGGGACUGAGACACGGCCCAGACUCCUAC
RNAcentral lists this ribosomal RNA (333 nucleotides) under uncultured bacterium. Its description in RNAcentral is "bacterial SSU rRNA". It matches the Rfam family "Bacterial small subunit ribosomal RNA", at positions 29 to 342 of the family's 1533-position model. The record is from RNAcentral.